Molecule: long non-coding RNA, 434 nt
Organism: Zophobas morio
Lineage: Eukaryota; Metazoa; Arthropoda; Insecta; Coleoptera; Tenebrionidae
Exons: 2
Source: RefSeq, a predicted model, not a curated record
UCGUAAUCAUAAUGUCAACCUCGUGAAUCAUUCCAUUAAAAUAAAUAGUUUGUUUCAAGUUAAUAAACAAGGUAAUGUAUGUUAAUUAAAGUUUUGUAAAAGUGGAUCUGGUUAAAUUUGUACACCUUCAAUUUAAGAACAACCCCUCCAAACGUUUACUAUAAAUAUGGAAAAUAUCAUCAAAGUCAUCAUUGUUUACCACUGAGUUUACACAAUUCAACAUGUUCAAAUUUGCCCUGUUCUUGGCUCUCGUAGCUCUUGCUCUGGCUGCUCCUAAAGCCCAACCCCAAUAUUUGGGAGGUGCUCUUUAUGGAGGCUAUUCUUCUUUGGGAUAUUCUUCGUUGGGAUAUGCUCCAUACGCUUAUGGUUUAGGAUAUGGAUAUAUUUAAAUAUGUGUUUAUAACAAUUUUUAAAUAAAAUUUGUUAAGCAAAAU